UACGUAGGUGGCAAGCGUUGUCCGGAUUUAUUGGGUUUAAAGGGUGCGUAGGCGGCUUAUUAAGUCAGUGGUGAAAUACUCUAGCUCAACUAGAGGGGUGCCAUUGAUACUGAUGAGCUUGAGUACAGAUGAGGUAGGCGGAAUUGACGGUGUAGCGGUGAAAUGCUUAGAUAUCGUCAAGAACACCUAUAGCGAAGGCAGCUUACUAGGCUGUAACUGACGCUGAGGCACGAAGGUCAGGGGAGCAAACGGG
RNAcentral lists this ribosomal RNA (253 nucleotides) under uncultured bacterium. Its description in RNAcentral is "partial 16S ribosomal RNA". It matches the Rfam family "Bacterial small subunit ribosomal RNA", at positions 524 to 776 of the family's 1533-position model. The record is from RNAcentral.